GACGAACGCUGGCGGCGUGCUUAACACAUGCAAGUCGAACGGAAAGGCCCUUCGGGGUACUCGAGUGGCGAACGGGUGAGUAACACGUGGGUGAUCUGCCCUGCACUUUGGGAUAAGCCUGGGAAACUGGGUCUAAUACCGGAUAGGACCACGGCAUUCAUGUGCUGUGGUGGAAAGCUUUUGCGGUGUGGGAUGGGCCCGCGGCCUAUCAGCUUGUUGGUGGGGUAAUGGCCUACCAAGGCGACGACAGGUAGCCGGCCUGAGAGGGUGACCGGCCACACUGGGACUGAGAUACGGCCCAGACUCCUACGGGAGGCAGCAGUGGGGAAUAUUGCACAAUGGGCGCAAGCCUGAUGCAGCGACGCCGCGUGAGGGAUGACGGCCUUCGGGUUGUAAACCUCUUUCGCCAGGGACGAAGCGCAAGUGACGGUACCUGGAGAAGAAGGACCGGCCAACUACGUG
RNAcentral lists this ribosomal RNA (462 nucleotides) under uncultured bacterium. RNAcentral describes it as "partial 16S ribosomal RNA". It matches the Rfam family "Bacterial small subunit ribosomal RNA", at positions 28 to 507 of the family's 1533-position model. The record is from RNAcentral.